CGAAUGCUGACAUAAGUAACGAUAAAGCGGGUGAAAAGCCCGCUCGCCGGAAGACCAAGGGUUCCUGUCCAACGUUAAUCGGGGCAGGGUGAGUCGACCCCUAAGGCGAGGCCGAAAGGCGUAGUCGAUGGGAAACAGGUUAAUAUUCCUGUACUUGGUGUUACUGCGAAGGGGGGACGGAGAAGGCUAUGUUGGCCGGGCGACGGUUGUCCCGGUUUAAGCGUGUAGGCUGGUUUUCCAGGCAAAUCCGGAAAAUCAAGGCUGAGGCGUGAUGACGAGGCACUACGGUGCUGAAGCAACAAAUGCCCUGCUUCCAGGAAAAGCCUCUAAGCAUCAGGUAACAUCAAAUCGUACCCCAAACCGACACAGGUGGUCAGGUAGAGAAUACCAAGGCGCUUGAGAGAACUCGGGUGAAGGAACUAGGCAAAAUGGUGCCGUAACUUCGGGAGAAGGCACGCUGAUAUGUAGGUGAAGCGACUUGCUCGUGGAGCUGAAAUCAGUCGAAGAUACCAGCUGGCUGCAACUGUUUAUUAAAAACACAGCACUGUGCAAACACGAAAGUGGACGUAUACGGUGUGACGCCUGCCCGGUGCCGGAAGGUUAAUUGAUGGGGUCAGCGCAAGCGAAGCUCUUGAUCGAAGCCCCGGUAAACGGCGGCCGUAACUAUAACGGUCCUAAGGUAGCGAAAUUCCUUGUCGGGUAAGUUCCGACCUGCACGAAUGGCGUAAUGAUGGCCAGGCUGUCUCCACCCGAGACUCAGUGAAAUUGAACUCGCUGUGAAGAUGCAGUGUACCCGCGGCAAGACGGAAAGACCCCGUGAACCUUUACUAUAGCUUGACACUGAACAUUGAGCCUUGAUGUGUAGGAUAGGUGGGAGGCUUAGAAGUGUGGACGCCAGUCUGCAUGGAGCCGACCUUGAAAUACCACCCUUUAAUGUUUGAUGUUCUAACGUUGACCCGUAAUCCGGGUUGCGGACAGUGUCUGGUGGGUAGUUUGACUGGGGCGGUCUCCUCCUAAAGAGUAACGGAGGAGCACGAAGGUUGGCUAAUCCUGGUCGGACAUCAGGAGGUUAGUGCAAUGGCAUAAGCCAGCUUGACUGCGAGCGUGACGGCGCGAGCAGGUGCGAAAGCAGGUCAUAGUGAUCCGGUGGUUCUGAAUGGAAGGGCCAUCGCUCAACGGAUAAAAGGUACUCCGGGGAUAACAGGCUGAUACCGCCCAAGAGUUCAUAUCGACGGCGGUGUUUGGCACCUCGAUGUCGGCUCAUCACAUCCUGGGGCUGAAGUAGGUCCCAAGGGUAUGGCUGUUCGCCAUUUAAAGUGGUACGCGAGCUGGGUUUAGAACGUCGUGAGACAGUUCGGUCCCUAUCUGCCGUGGGCGCUGGAGAACUGAGGGGGGCUGCUCCUAGUACGAGAGGACCGGAGUGGACGCAUCACUGGUGUUCGGGUUGUCAUGCCAAUGGCACUGCCCGGUAGCUAAAUGCGGAAGAGAUAAGUGCUGAAAGCAUCUAAGCACGAAACUUGCCCCGAGAUGAGUUCUCCCUGACUCCUUGAGA
This 1552-nucleotide ribosomal RNA is filed under the name Escherichia coli. RNAcentral's name for it is "partial 23S ribosomal RNA". It matches the Rfam family "Bacterial large subunit ribosomal RNA", at positions 1291 to 2833 of the family's 2925-position model. The record is from RNAcentral. Lineage: Bacteria; Pseudomonadati; Pseudomonadota; Gammaproteobacteria; Enterobacterales; Enterobacteriaceae.